GCUGGGCAUAGUGGCGCAUGCCUGUAGUCCCAGCUACUCAGGAGGCUGAGGCAGGAGAAUCGCUUGAACCCGGGAGGCGGAGGUUGCAGUGAGCCGAGAUCGUGUCACUGCAGCCCGGGUGACAGAGCGAGACUCUGUCUCAA
This is an unclassified non-coding RNA of Pongo abelii (Sumatran orangutan), 143 nucleotides long. It matches the Rfam family "Metazoan signal recognition particle RNA". From Rfam's summary of the family: The signal recognition particle (SRP) is a universally conserved ribonucleoprotein. It is involved in the co-translational targeting of proteins to membranes. NCBI's taxonomy places the organism in Eukaryota, Metazoa, Chordata, Mammalia, Primates, Hominidae. The record is from Ensembl.